RNAcentral lists this non-coding RNA (18 nucleotides) under Rattus norvegicus (Norway rat). Lineage: Eukaryota; Metazoa; Chordata; Mammalia; Rodentia; Muridae. The record is from RNAcentral.
GUGAAUGACGGUGAAUGA